RNAcentral lists this ribosomal RNA (408 nucleotides) under uncultured bacterium. Its description in RNAcentral is "bacterial SSU rRNA". It matches the Rfam family "Bacterial small subunit ribosomal RNA", at positions 976 to 1381 of the family's 1533-position model. The record is from RNAcentral.
UAGCCUUGACAUUGAUUGAAUCCAGCAGAGAUGCAGGAGUGCCCUUCGGGGAACAUGAAAACAGGUGCUGCACGGCUGUCGUCAGCUCGUGUCGUGAGAUGUUGGGUUAAGUCCCGCAACGAGCGCAACCCUCGUCAAUAGUUGCCAGCAGGUUAAGCUGGGCACUCUAUUGAGACUGCCUUCGCAAGGAGGAGGAAGGUGAGGACGACGUCAAGUCAUCAUGGCCCUUACGGCUAGGGCUACACACGUGCUACAAUGGGGCGUACAGAGUGUUGCGAUACCGCGAGGUGGAGCUAAUCACUUAAAGCGUCUCUCAGUUCGGAUUGGAGUCUGCAACUCGACUCCAUGAAGCUGGAAUCACUAGUAAUCGUAGAUCAGCAAUGCUACGGUGAAUACGUUCCCGGGUCU